UCGAACGCUUCCUUCCUCCCGAGUGCUUGCACUCAAUUGGAAAGAGGAGUGGCGGACGGGUGGGUAACACGUGGGUAACCUACCCAUCAGAGGGGGAUAACACUUGGAAACAGGUGCUAAUACCGCAUAACAGUUUAUGCCGCAUGGCAUAAGAGUAAAAGGCGCUUUCGGGUGUCGCUGAUGGAUGGACCCGCGGUGCAUUAGCCAGUUGGUGAGGUAACGGCUCACCAAGGCCACGAUGCAUAGCCGACCUGAGAGGGUGAUCGGCCACACUGGGACUGAGACACGGCCCAGACUCCUACGGGAGGCAGCAGUAGGGAAUCUUCGGCAAUGGACGAAAGUCUGACCGAGCAACGCCGCGUGAGUGAAGAAGGUUUUCGGAUCGUAAAACUCUGUUGUUAGAGAAGAACAAGGACGUUAGUAACUGAACGUCCCCUGACGGUAUCUAACCAGAAAGUCACGGCUAACUACGUGCCAGCAGCCGCGGUAAUACGUAGGUGGCAAGCGUUGUCCGGAUUUAUUGGGCGUAAAGCGAGCGCAGGCGGUUUCUUAAGUCUGAUGUGAAAGCCCCCGGCUCAACCGGGGAGGGUCAUUGGAAACUGGGAGACUUGAGUGCAGAAGAGGAGAGUGGAAUUCCAUGUGUAGCGGUGAAAUGCGUAGAUAUAUGGAGGAACACCAGUGGCGAAGGCG
RNAcentral lists this ribosomal RNA (690 nucleotides) under uncultured Bacilli bacterium. Its description in RNAcentral is "bacterial SSU rRNA". It matches the Rfam family "Bacterial small subunit ribosomal RNA", at positions 62 to 723 of the family's 1533-position model. Lineage: Bacteria; Bacillati; Bacillota; Bacilli. The record is from RNAcentral.